This 219-nucleotide unclassified non-coding RNA is filed under the name Hevea brasiliensis (rubber tree). Lineage: Eukaryota; Viridiplantae; Streptophyta; Magnoliopsida; Malpighiales; Euphorbiaceae. The record is from RNAcentral.
AUCUACUACUUCUGACGGGGGUAAAAGCAAUGCGAAAGAUGAAUCAGUUGAAGAACCAACUGUAGUAGGUCUUGGGAGGAAAUUUGAACCAUUAAAGAAAAUUAAAAAGAAAACCGGCAUUGUUGGCAGUGCUUCUGAAAACAAAGAAUCGAGUACCGACAAAGUGCUUGCCUUAGGAACAAUAGAUUCAGAGAAAAUAAAAGAAGCUGAAUCAAACAA